GAUGGAAGGCUGAGUCAACCUUGAGCCAUGUCAGAAUCAAACUCCUGGCUGUGGGCAGAAUCUGGCUACAGGAACUGUGUUCUGAACCACUCUGCCACCAGGGUUCUGUGGUUAAAGAGAAGAAACUCUUCUGUUUUGACAACUUUAGUUUGGUUGGUCACAAAACUGGUAUAAGGUAUCGCAGUGAUGGCGAACCUUUUAGAUCCCGAGUGCCCAAACUGUGUGCGCAUGCCCAAACUAAAAGGACAUGCAUGUACGGACAUGCGCAUGUGGACAUGCACAUGUACACACCUUUCCGUUUGGGUAUGUGCAAGCACACAGUUUGGGCAUUGGGUUUGCCAUCACUGGCAUAUGUGGGGACAUGCAUGCAAAUAUGUGCACCUGCGGACAUGCGCAUGUGCAUGCGCAGACAUUGCAUGCAUGCAGCAGAGACUCAAAGACCAGCUGGCCUGCGGGGCAUCCCAACUCUGGCAGCGCAGAAAAAGACUGUCUUUUUCUUUCAUUUUGUUUCAUUGUUUGCAGGGAAACAAGCUCACAAAAGAAGCACCAUGGAGAUCUUAUCUGGGGCGAGGGGGCACGUGCCAGCAGAGAGGGCUCUGCAUGCCACCUCUAGCACACGUACCAUAGGUUGAGCAGCCCAGGAAUAUCAUGCCAACAAAACUAAGAUCCGUUCUUGACUGCUCAUAUUCCAGCUUACUCGAUUUCAGAUGCAGUGGAUAAAAUCUGGGUAUACUUGGUGCAGAUGCUGCGGUUCAGCGGCUUAAAGAUGCUGGAGAUGUUCUUUGCUCUGGCGGUUCGAGUCCUACACUACAUGGUGGCGUGAGCUCCCAUCACUUGCCUCAACCUCUGCACAUCUGGCAGUUCGAAAGCAUACUACAUGCGAGUAGAUAAAUAGGUAUCACUUCAGUGGGAAAUGUGGCAGUGUUUUCUUGUGUAAGUUCGGACCCUGCUGGACCUGCCUGAAUAUGACACCCAACUGCAAUGGUGAGAGAAGGCCACAGAUGGCACCACAGGAACUUGUUUGCCCCCUGUGAUGCAUCUUGGAUAUGCACACGAGUGUGAACUAAAAGGACUACUACUCUUCCAC
Long non-coding RNA from Thamnophis elegans (Western terrestrial garter snake), 1087 nucleotides. RefSeq lists it as uncharacterized. Lineage: Eukaryota; Metazoa; Chordata; Lepidosauria; Squamata; Natricidae. The transcript is spliced from 3 exons. The record is from RefSeq and is a predicted model, not a curated record.